RNAcentral lists this ribosomal RNA (423 nucleotides) under uncultured bacterium. Its description in RNAcentral is "bacterial SSU rRNA". It matches the Rfam family "Bacterial small subunit ribosomal RNA", at positions 207 to 622 of the family's 1533-position model. The record is from RNAcentral.
AAGACCUUGCGCUUUUGGAGCGGCCGAUGUCUGAUUAGCUUGUUGGUGAGGUAAAAGCUUACCAAGGCUUCGAUCAGUAGCUGGUCUGAGAGGACGGCCAGCCACACUGGGACUGAGACACGGCCCAGACUCCUACGGGAGGCAGCAGUGGGGAAUUUUGGACAAUGGGGGCAACCCUGAUCCAGCCAUGCCGCGUGAGUGAAGAAGGCCUUCGGGUUGUAAAGCUCUUUCAGCCGGAACGAAACGGUUACGGUUAAUACCCGUGACUACUGACGGUACCGGAAGAAGAAGCACCGGCUAACUACGUGCCAGCAGCCGCGGUAAUACGUAGGGUGCAAGCGUUAAUCGGAAUUACUGGGCGUAAAGCGUGCGCAGGUGGUUUUGUAAGUCGGAUGUGAAKUCCCCGGGCUUAACCUGGGAACU